GUGAGAGGGCAGGGCCAUCUGGGUCAGUGUAAGAGACAGGAAGUAUGUCACAAGGGUUAGAAACAGGAAGUAUGUCACAAAGGUAGAGACAGGAAGUAUGUCACAAGGGUUAGAAACAUGAAGUAUGCCACAAGGGUCAGGGUUAGAGACAGGAAGUAUGUCACAAAGGUCAGGAUUAGAGACAGGAAGUAUGUCACAAGGGUUAGAAACAGGAAGUAUGUCACAAAGGUAGAGACAGGAAGUAUGUCACAAGGGUUAGAAACAGGAAGUAUGUCACAAAGGUAGAGACAGGAAGUAUGUCACAAGGGUUAGAAACAUGAAGUAUGCCACAAGGGUCAGGGUUAGAGACAGGAAGUAUGUCACAAAGGUCAGGAUUAGAGACAGGAAGUAUGUCACAAGGGUUAGAAACAGGAAGUAUGUCACAAAGGUAGAGACAGGAAGUAUGUCACAAGGGUUAGAAACAGGAAGUAUGUCACAAAGGUAGAGACAGGAAGUAUGUCACAAGGGUUAGAAACAGGAAGUAUGUCACAAAGGUAGAGACAGGAAGUAUGUCACAAGGGUAGAGACAGGAAGUAUGUCACAAGGGUUAGAAACAGGAAGUAUGUCACAAAGGUAGAGACAGGAAGUAUGUCACAAGGGUUAGAAACAGGAAGUAUGUCACAAAGGUAGAGACAGGAAGUAUGUCACAAGGGUUAGAAACAGGAAGUAUGUCACAAGGGUCAGGGUUAGAGACAGGAAGUAUGUCACAAAGGUCAGGAUUAGAGACAGGAAGAAUGUCACAAGGGUAGAGACAGGAUGUAUGUCACAAGGGUUAGAAACAGGAAGUAUGUCACAAGGGUCAGGGUUAGAGACAGGAAGUAUGUCACAAAGGUCAGGAUUAGAGACAGGAAGAAUGUCACAAGGGUAGAGACAGGAAGUAUGUCACAAGGGUUAGAAACAUGAAGUAUGCCACAAGGGUCAGGGUUAGAGACAGGAAGUAUGUCACAAAGGUCAGGAUUAGAGACAGGAAGAAUGUCACAAGGGUAGAGACAGGAUGUAUGUCACCAGGGUCAGUGUAAGAGACAGGAAGUAUGUC
Epinephelus fuscoguttatus (brown-marbled grouper) is the source of this 1075-nucleotide long non-coding RNA. RefSeq lists it as uncharacterized. The transcript is spliced from 4 exons. Lineage: Eukaryota; Metazoa; Chordata; Actinopteri; Perciformes; Serranidae. The record is from RefSeq and is a predicted model, not a curated record.